This is a long non-coding RNA of Hypanus sabinus (Atlantic stingray), 657 nucleotides long. RefSeq lists it as uncharacterized. NCBI's taxonomy places the organism in Eukaryota, Metazoa, Chordata, Chondrichthyes, Myliobatiformes, Dasyatidae. The record is from RefSeq and is a predicted model, not a curated record. The transcript has 4 exons.
GUGAGGGAGGGUGUGAUGGUGAUGAGAUGGACUGCGGGAACCUGGGAUGUAAGCGGACAGAGUCAGCUGAAUCAGCUCCAGACAUGGGCUGAAGGAUCUCCUCAGUGGGAUGGAUUGGAGGGCGCUCCCUAGCAUGAGGGAUGGAUCAGAGGGAGUUCCAGAGGUCGAGAGACCAUCGGACGAGGGAUAUCCCUAGGGAAGGUGUCAGACUGAGAGCGACGGACUCUCCGUGUCAGAGGCAGAGGCAACGUCUGGUGAGGAGCCACAGGGGAACAUUGAACAACAGAUGGAAACCAGGCUGAGCCAGGAAGAUGAGGGUCCCGUUGCUGGUUCUGGCUUUGCUGGUCACAGACUCCGCACUCGGUGAUCCGUGUGUAAACCACACCGUCCUGGAUCAGCCCUGGAGGAGCACAAAUUGUUACAACACUGAAUGCACCGGAGGACAAUUGAUGGAUGAUGGAAAUCUUGAAGUGGUUUGGUACAGACUGAACAGGUAAAGUGAGGAGAUCAUUGCGAAGAAUCUGGACACAGAUGGGAAGGUAAACAGGGGAACAAGGGGUGUGUGAAUGGGAAAUGCAGGGAGACUGGGAUCAUCAGUGACUACACUGAGAUGGGGAGUAAAUACAGGGAGAGGGGAGAUCCCACAUUCUCGGGGUA